RNAcentral lists this ribosomal RNA (453 nucleotides) under uncultured Paraprevotella sp. Its description in RNAcentral is "partial 16S ribosomal RNA". It matches the Rfam family "Bacterial small subunit ribosomal RNA", at positions 341 to 792 of the family's 1533-position model. The record is from RNAcentral. Lineage: Bacteria; Pseudomonadati; Bacteroidota; Bacteroidia; Bacteroidales; Prevotellaceae.
ACGGGAGGCAGCAGUGAGGGAUAUUGGUCAAUGGGCGAGAGCCUGAACCAGCCAAGUAGCGUGAGGGAAGACUGCCCUAUGGGUUGUAAACCUCUUUUGUAUGGGAAUAAAGGGAGCCACGUGUGGCUCGUUGCACGUACCUUACGAAUAAGCAUCGGCUAAUUCCGUGCCAGCAGCCGCGGUAAUACGGAAGAUGCGAGCGUUAUCCGGAUUUAUUGGGUUUAAAGGGAGCGUAGGCGGCCUUUUAAGUCAGCGGUUAAAUGUCAGCGCCCAACGUUGGAAUGCCGUUGAAACUGGAGGGCUUGAAUACACACAAGGUAAGUGGAAUUCGUCGUGUAGCGGUGAAAUGCUUAGAUAUGACGAAGAACUCCGAUUGCGAAGGCAGCUUACUGGGGUGCGAUUGACGCUGAGGCUCGAAAGUGCGGGAAUCAAACAGGAUUAGAUACCCUGGUA